UAAAGAUAGGGAGAGAAAUUGAAUUUAGGGAGAGAGAGAGAGAGAGAGAGGAGGAAGGAAGGAGACGAUGAAUACCCCUUCUUCGUCGUCUUCUCUUCCUCUUCUUCGCCAUUGCUAAUCCCACUCGAUCUCAUCGAAGCUUCCCCGCUGAGUCGGUCUCCAUCUCUCCGCGUCUCGCAGAGUCGAAGCAGUAGCUCGCUGCCCCACCUUACCUUCCGUCCGGUUCUGCAGUCACCGACUUUCCCCGGCCGCCGAUGACUCCCCCCGCUCCCUCCUUCUCUAGCCAUGUGACUCUGGUCCUCGGUAAUCUCCGCCUCGAGAGAUGACUCCGUCGGCUUCGCUUCGAGAUCCUCCCGCACCCCCGCUAGCGCCGACCAAGGAUUUUGCCAUGUCCACAGACGCUCACGCCCUAGCUCCCGGGGCCUCCUCUGCCAUGCCGGAGCCGGCGCCGCUGCCGGUCCAUUUCGUUCCGUUUCUCGCUUCCGGUUCUCAUUUGCUUUCGCUCCCCUCAUAUAGGAGGGAAAGGAAAGGGUUAGGAUUGAUCAUUAGGACUGUGGUUGACAAGGUCAAUUUCGUUUUCGCAUUGGGGCUGAAGCGUCGGGGCGUUCGAUUGGCAGAGCCGGAGAACGAUCUCGCCGUUUUGCAGCUCAGCUUCGGCUUUUUUGUUAGAGUUUAGCAUCCUAGUCGAGGCUAUCAACCGAAUCUUUCCUCUUUCCUGCUCUUGCCUUGUUAGCCUCUGGAAAGGCGGUGUUGGAGCAAUCGAAUUCCGGUAAACGAUACAGCACGAUGAGGUCAUCUGGCAAGUUAUUCGCUACAAACAUUGUAGUUUUAUGGCCAAGUGAGAAAAUCCCACCUCAGAAAUCUGCUUGCUCGCUCUGCCCGUUUAAUUCUUUUUGUCGACUCGAAGUGAUGUAUUGUUCGGUUUGAUUUUCAUUUCAUAUGGUUCUCUGUUUUUUUCCCCCCAUCUCCUGGUAGAAUUGAGAUCGGGAUCUUCUGCAAAAACCCUUAUAAUGUCACUGGGGUUUGUAACCGGAGCUCUUGCCCUCUCGCCAACAGCUGCUAUGCCACCAUUCGCGAAGAAAAUAGUUAGACCUUAUUUCCUUGUUAUGGUGCUUCCCAUGAGUUUUUCGAUGUAAGGAGCAUGUUUCUGUCGAUAUAUAAGUUGAGAAUUUUAUGAUGCAAUGACUCUGAUGCAUUAUGUUUUUGUCACCUGGGAAGCUGGGAAAUGGGAAAUUUCUAGACUACUUACGAAUUAGAUAGCUGCUUAGCUGAUUGUGUUCAACUAUCGACUUUGGAUGUAGACUGCUGAGAUAUGUAGGCUUUAGCUGAUCUUCAGUUGCUCAAUUUUUUUCUUCUGCAGGUGUUUUCUACUUGUAUAUGAAAACCAUAGAAAGGGCUCACAUGCCUAAUAAGUUGUGGGAGAGAGUAAAGCUACCCAUAAAUAAUGAGAAGGCACUUGAAAUUAUUGACAAGCAUCUGGUAUCGGAAAGUUAUGUGUAUUAGGCAGUUUUUUCAGUUGUAAAGACAACAUUUCAGUUUAUGUGUAAUGCAGUUUUGCAAAUCUUUGCAACUAAGUUAAUGAAGUUAAUGUAUUGUUCUCUCAA
This is a non-coding RNA of Punica granatum (pomegranate), 1604 nucleotides long. The record is from RefSeq and is a predicted model, not a curated record. Lineage: Eukaryota; Viridiplantae; Streptophyta; Magnoliopsida; Myrtales; Lythraceae.